AUACGGAGGGUGCAAGCGUUAAGCGGAAUUACUGGGCGUAAAGCGCUCGUAGGCGGUUUGUUAAGUCGGAUGUGAAAGCCCCGGGCUCAACCUGGGAACUGCAUUCGAUACUGGCAAACUAGAGUAUACUAGAGGCAAGUGGAAUUCCGGGUGUAGCGGUGAAAUGCGUAGAUAUCCGGAGGAACAUCAGUGGCGAAGGCGACUUGCUGGACUAAUACUGACGCUGAGGAGCGAAAGCGUGGGGAGCAAACGGAAUUAGAAACCCCGGUAGUCC
RNAcentral lists this ribosomal RNA (274 nucleotides) under uncultured bacterium. RNAcentral describes it as "partial 16S ribosomal RNA". It matches the Rfam family "Bacterial small subunit ribosomal RNA", at positions 523 to 796 of the family's 1533-position model. The record is from RNAcentral.